RNAcentral lists this ribosomal RNA (387 nucleotides) under uncultured eukaryote. RNAcentral describes it as "partial 18S ribosomal RNA". It matches the Rfam family "Eukaryotic small subunit ribosomal RNA", at positions 592 to 976 of the family's 1831-position model. The record is from RNAcentral.
CAGUAGCGUAUAUUAAAGUUGUUGCAGUUAAAAAGCUCGUAGUUGGAUUUCUGGCGUGACGGAACUGACCCGCCGCGUUAUGCGUGUGAGUGUCGGCGUCCGUCUGCCAUCCUCCCGGAGAGCGAGUCUACCCUUCACUGGGCCGGGCUCUCGAUCCGGGACCGUUACUUUGAAGAAAUUAGAGUGUUCAAAGCAGGCUUGCGCCGUGAAUACAUUAGCAUGGAAUAUCAACAUAGGACUUUGGUUCUAUUUUGUUGGUUUCUAGGACUGAAGUAAUGAUUGAUAGGGAUAGUUGGGGGUGCUAGUAUUCAGCGGCCAGAGGUGAAAUUCUUGGAUUCGCUGAAGACUAACUUAUGCGAAAGCAUUCACCAAGGAUGUCUUCUUUAA